Molecule: transfer RNA, 90 nt
Filed under: Felis catus (domestic cat)
Lineage: Eukaryota; Metazoa; Chordata; Mammalia; Carnivora; Felidae
Also listed under: 6 other names
Rfam family: tRNA
About the family: Transfer RNA (tRNA) molecules are approximately 80 nucleotides in length.
Source: Rfam by way of RNAcentral
GCCUGAGUGGCUCAGUAGGUUGAGCAUCUGACUCUUGAUUUCAGCUUGGUCAUGAUCUCAGGAUGGUGGGAUUGAACCCCAUGUCAGGCU